Molecule: non-coding RNA, 73 nt
Organism: Paramuricea clavata
Lineage: Eukaryota; Metazoa; Cnidaria; Anthozoa; Malacalcyonacea; Plexauridae
Source: the annotation of a GenBank genome assembly
GACCACGUAGCUUAGCUGCCAGAGCAUUGGACUAGUAUCCCAAAGGUCGCGGGUUCGAUUCCCACCGUGGCCA